CAGGCCUAACACAUGCAAGUCGAACGGGCUAGCAAUAGUCAGUGGCGCACGGGUGCGUAACACGUGGGUAAUCAACCCUUCAGCUUGGGAUAACGCCUUGAAAGGGGCGCUAAUACCGGAUACGGCGCGAGAGUCCUCGGACUUUCACGAGAAAGAUUCGCAAGGAUCACUGAAGGACGAGCCUGCGGCCCAUCAGCUAGUUGGUGAGGUAAGAGCUCACCAAGGCGAAGACGGGUAGCCGGCCUGAGAGGGUGACCGGCCACACUGGGACUGAGACACGGCCCAGACUCCUACGGGAGGCAGCAGUGGGGAAUAUUGGACAAUGGGCGAAAGCCUGAUCCAGCCAUGCCGCGUGAGUGAUGAAGGCCUUAGGGUUGUAAAGCUCUUUCGACGGGGACGAUAAUGACGGUACCCGUAGAAGAAGCCCCGGCUAACUUCGUGCCAGCAGCCGCGGUAAU
Molecule: ribosomal RNA, 458 nt
Filed under: uncultured bacterium
Lineage: Bacteria
Description: bacterial SSU rRNA
Rfam family: Bacterial small subunit ribosomal RNA
Source: RNAcentral